RNAcentral lists this long non-coding RNA (1800 nucleotides) under Zea mays. RNAcentral describes it as "long non-coding RNA (ZMAY_LNC000686)". The record is from RNAcentral. Lineage: Eukaryota; Viridiplantae; Streptophyta; Magnoliopsida; Poales; Poaceae.
GAAAUGGUUCAAACAGUGGUUACAUGUCUCCUGAAUAUGCUAUGGAAGGCUCAUUCUCUGUCAAGUCUGACACCUAUAGCUUUGGUGUUCUACUACUGGAGAUUGUAAGCGGCUUAAAGAUUGGCUCACCCCAUCUGAUAAUGGACUAUCCAAAUCUCAUUGCUUAUGUAAGUACAAAGGAAUUCCGGACUAUUGAACAGCUCAAAAACACUUUUGGUGACUUGACCAGAACUUAGUUUCAUUGGUUCAGGCAUGGAGCUUAUGGGAAGGUGGAAAUGCAAGGGAAUUGGUGGACUCGUCGGUUCUGGUGAGUUGUCCACUUCAGGAAGCUGUACGAUGCAUCCACUUGGGUCUUUUAUGUGUCCAAGACAGUCCAAAUGCGAGGCCGCUCAUGUCAUCCAUUGUGUUCAUGCUAGAAAAUGAAACAGCCCCGGUUCCUACCCCAAAAAGACCUGUAUAUUUUACUACUAGGAAUUAUGAAACUAAUCAGUCAGAUCAAUACAUGCGAAGAUCGCUGAAUAACAUGAGUAUCACAACUCUAGAGGGGCGUUAAAUGUUUAGUUUCAUUGUUCGCUAUUUUGGUAAACUUUUGUUUAAUGUGUGCCAUUAAACAAUUACAUUAGGUUUGUAUUAAUACAAUUACGCUAGCCGUUCAGGUUUGUACAUAGAAAAUGUUCCAUUAAAUCUGUUGUACACCAUCGGUUCGGUGGGUUGUAUUGAUAUAUUCUCGAGACUGUAAAGUUCACUAGUUUUUACAACUGGUUCCGCAUGUCAAAUGUCGGUUAUCUAUCUGAUCAUGUGUGCAUAACUCAGUAGUCCUCUGAUGUUGCUUUACAUGUAAGAAUUUCCUGCUUCUUGGAUUUAUCUGGCAGUCAAUGAGUGUGAAACCUUGAACCGAUGGCUCCUAUCACAAGAAAAGCUGGUGAAAAUUUAUUCGUUCUCUCUGAAUCUGCAAGCAACCAUCAUCGUUUUUACUGCUACACAGCUUAUUACGAAGAAAUGACCAUUGUAUGUUCUUUUAUCAUAAUAUUGAUUACACAGUUUCCAUAAAAAACAACAAAACAAAGGUACUCAAUAAUACCUAAAAGGCUAUUUGCUGAAUGCCAGAUUGAGCUUCAUAAGAUUGGGUGUUAUCCAAGUAGGACAGGGCCAGUUGAACCAAAUUUGAGACACAAUUUCCUUCUUGACACUAUUUUCCAAGUCUAUAACUCCCAUAUCAUGUGUGUGUGGUUUAACUAAUUCAAGCUGUACAUUCUAUUUCUUUUCUUAUCUGAAAUGGUUCACCGUGCAUACAUGUCUCCUGAAUAUGCUAUGGAAGGCUCAUUCUCUGUCAAGUCUGACACCUAUAGCUUUGGUGUUCUACUACUGGAGAUUGUAAUCAGCUUAAAGAUUGGCUCACCCCAUCUGAUAAUGGACCAUCUAAACCUCAUUACUUAUGUAAGUACAGAGGAAUUCCUGACUAUUGAACAACUCAAAAACACUCUUUUGGUGACUUGACUAGAACUUUUUUUUUUGAAACAAACUUGACUAGAACUUAGUUUCAUUGGUUCAGACGAGUUUAUGGGAAGAUGGAAAUGCAAGGGAAUUGGUGCACUCGUCGGUUUUGGAGAGUUGUCCAGCUGUACGAUGUAUUCACUUGGGUCUUUUAUGCGUCCAAGACAGUCCAAAUGCGAGGCCGCUCAUGCCAUCCGUUGUGUUCAUGCUAGCAAAUGAAACAGCCCCACUUCCUACCCCAAAUAAACCUAUAUAUUUUACUACUAGGAAUUAUGAAACUGGUCAGUCAAGUCAAUACACGCGCGA